CUAGAAUAAGCCAGCUUAACAGUCACAACUGACAACCGAGUUGCAAAUGGCAAGCAGCAGUCUCCACCGUCCACCUGAUCGUGUUGCAGAGCACAGAGAGGGUCCCUGUGCGGGGCUGUUGGCAAUCAGCGUCCCAGCGUCAGUCCAGGCAGAAAUGGAAACACUGAUGACAGCUUGUCAGAGAUUACACACCUGGGAUGUGAUGGAGCAAGAAUUAAGCUCAGCAGUCUGCCUCCUGCACCGCGCUCCUAACAAUUGUUCUCUAUCAUGCACUCCCUUUCAUGUAUUCAGUAUUCUCAAAGAAAACGUUGUUAUAAAACAGCAUACUUAUGACUUUUAUUAUUACAAACGAGUAAAUUUGUGUCUUCUCGGUCUUACAUGAAAAUAAACAUUUUGGCUUAAACCUAUGCAUGAUGCCAGCUGUUUAAUUAUGGACAAAUUCUAAAGAAACAUAGGAUAAGCAUAAAGAAACUUUAUGCUAAGCGUAAAGUUAGGAAAUUCUGAGAGAAA
This 510-nucleotide long non-coding RNA is filed under the name Equus caballus (horse). RNAcentral's name for it is "lncRNA (ENSECAG00000050083.1)". The record is from RNAcentral. Lineage: Eukaryota; Metazoa; Chordata; Mammalia; Perissodactyla; Equidae.